GUGACUUUAGCAGCACAUGUACUAAAAUUGGAACAAUUCAGAGAUUAGUUAUGGUCCCUGUGCAAGGGUGACAUGCAAAUUCAUGAACUGGUCCUUAUUUUA
Molecule: small nuclear RNA, 102 nt
Filed under: Sciurus vulgaris (Eurasian red squirrel)
Lineage: Eukaryota; Metazoa; Chordata; Mammalia; Rodentia; Sciuridae
Source: RNAcentral